GACGGAGGGUGCUAGCGUUGUUCGGAUUUACUGGGCGUAAAGGGCGCGUAGGCGGCCUUCUCAGUCGGGUGUGAAAGCCCGGGGCUCAACCCCGGAACGGCACCCGAGACGGGCAGGCUGGAGACCGGGAGAGGAGGGUGGAAUAGCCAGUGUAGAGGUGAAAUUCGUAGAUAUUGGCUGGAACACCGGUGGCGAAAGCGGCUCUCUGGCCCGGUUCUGACGCUGAGGCGCGAAAGCGUGGGGAGCAAACAGG
This 253-nucleotide ribosomal RNA is filed under the name uncultured bacterium. RNAcentral describes it as "partial 16S ribosomal RNA". It matches the Rfam family "Bacterial small subunit ribosomal RNA", at positions 524 to 776 of the family's 1533-position model. The record is from RNAcentral.